Molecule: long non-coding RNA, 711 nt
Filed under: Malus domestica (apple)
Lineage: Eukaryota; Viridiplantae; Streptophyta; Magnoliopsida; Rosales; Rosaceae
Description: long non-coding RNA (MDOM_LNC009818)
Source: RNAcentral
CACAAUAAUAUUUUCUCCUAAAAAUUUUUACAAGUAGCAACACGCGACGAAAUGGACAUCAAAUUCAAUAGUUUAUUGUGUACAAACUUCAUUUUCCUGCAAAAUUUACACACAAAUAAUGUAUUGAUAUUGAUUUGUAGCUCAAGGUAGAUAAAUGGACCACUCUUUCUCUAUAAAUAUUUAGGUCAUGUGUGGAUCACAGAACACAGGCCAGGAAAAGGAAAUCAUGUAAUCUGAUCACACCAGCUCAUAGGUGUUAGUUAUAAAUCACACCCUCGUAUUUAAAGCCUUUUUCCUGCUUAAACCUGUUUUUUAAGAUCGGUGCCUUCUAACAGCUUCACAUCGAUCGAUCACAUUACGAUCACUAGUGUCCAUCUUCAUUAAUAGGACGGUUAUAACCAUUUAUUUGGUUUCAAUCUCGAGUUUUUGUUUUCAUCUAAUUUUCUUUAUUUCUAUCUCCUACAUUUCAUAAUCUUUCUUCAUCAUUAUUCACAUGUCAUUUAUGUGUGUAAAUCUUCUGAACCGAAAAUUUGUAUGUACGUGAUCUCUCUGUGACUUUUCGUAGUUGGGGUUCUACCAUGAUACUAAUUGGCAAUAUGAAGAGUAAUUCAACAUCUCAUAAGCCCAUGCAAGAUCACUCAUCCCAUCAAUGUGAGACUUAUUCCUAACACACCCCCUCACAUGUGAUGAAUUUUCAAGCUUAACACGUGG